GGAUGCGAUCAUACCAGCACUAAAGCACCGGAUCCCAUCAGAACUCCGAAGUUAAGCAUGCUUCGGCGAGAGUAGUACUAGGAUGGGUGACCUCCUUUGAAGUCCUCGUGUUGCAUUCC
RNAcentral lists this ribosomal RNA (119 nucleotides) under Triticum aestivum (bread wheat). The record is from RNAcentral. Lineage: Eukaryota; Viridiplantae; Streptophyta; Magnoliopsida; Poales; Poaceae.